CCUACGGAGUGCUGCAGUAGGGAAUAUUGCUCAAUGGGGGAAACCCUGAAGCAGCAACGCCGCGUGGAGGAUGAAGGUCUUCGGAUCGUAAACCUCUGUCAGCAGGGAAGAACGGUCACUGUGCUAAUCAGCAGUGAAUUGACGGUACCUGCAAAGGAAGCACCGGCUAACUCCGUGCAAGCAGCCGAGGUAAUACGGAGGGUGCGAGCGUUAAUCGGAAUUACUGGGCGUAAAGCGCUCGUAGGCGGUAUGUCAAGUCAAUGGUGAAAUCCCCGCGCUCAACGUGGGAACUGCCUUUGAAACUGGCAAACUGGAGUGUGUGAGAGGAUAGUGGAAUUCCAGGUGUAGGAGUGAAAUCCGUAGAUAUCUGGAGGAACAUCAGUGGCGAAGGCGACUAUCUGGCACAUAACUGACGCUGAGGAGCGAAAGCGUGGGUAGCAAACAGGAUUAGAUACCCCAGUAGUC
This 465-nucleotide ribosomal RNA is filed under the name uncultured bacterium. RNAcentral's name for it is "partial 16S ribosomal RNA". It matches the Rfam family "Bacterial small subunit ribosomal RNA", at positions 338 to 795 of the family's 1533-position model. The record is from RNAcentral.